ACGCUCAAGUUUUUCUUCAUAUCGAAUAAAUCUUUUGCCUUUUACUAAAGAUUUCCGUGGAGAGGAACGUAUUGAGUUGAAAUUAAUUUUUUUGAUGCCCUGCUUAAAUGCGGGGCU
Small nuclear RNA from Puntigrus tetrazona (Sumatra barb), 117 nucleotides. RefSeq annotates it as U5 spliceosomal RNA. The record is from RefSeq and is a predicted model, not a curated record. The transcript has a single exon. NCBI's taxonomy places the organism in Eukaryota, Metazoa, Chordata, Actinopteri, Cypriniformes, Cyprinidae.